Erpetoichthys calabaricus (reedfish) is the source of this 187-nucleotide small nuclear RNA. Its record names the gene U2. It matches the Rfam family "U2 spliceosomal RNA". Rfam says of the family: U2 is a small nuclear RNA (snRNA) component of the spliceosome (involved in pre-mRNA splicing). The record is from Ensembl. Lineage: Eukaryota; Metazoa; Chordata; Cladistia; Polypteriformes; Polypteridae.
AUUUCUGUACAAUGUAUGGUUGUCGGUUUGUCAAAUAAUAAAUCUGCUCUUAUCAGUUUAUAUCUGAUACAUCUGGGGACCAUGUAUUAAAUUCAUUUAUGGAACAGAGAGAUGGAAUAGGGGCUUGCUCUGUCCACUCCAUGCAUCAACCUGGUAUUGCAGUACCUCCAGGAGCAGGGCAUCUUCU